This 429-nucleotide ribosomal RNA is filed under the name Chloroflexota bacterium. RNAcentral describes it as "Chloroflexi bacterium partial 16S ribosomal RNA". It matches the Rfam family "Bacterial small subunit ribosomal RNA", at positions 355 to 776 of the family's 1533-position model. The record is from RNAcentral. Lineage: Bacteria; Bacillati; Chloroflexota.
UGGGGAAUAUUGCACAAUGGGCGCAAGCCUGAUGCAGCCAUGCCGCGUGUAUGAAGAAGGCCUUCGGGUUGUAAAGUACUUUCAGCGGGGAGGAAGGGAGUAAAGUUAAUACCUUUGCUCAUUGACGUUACCCGCAGAAGAAGCACCGGCUAACUCCGUGCCAGCAGCCGCGGUAAUACGGAGGGUGCAAGCGUUAAUCGGAAUUACUGGGCGUAAAGCGCACGCAGGCGGUUUGUUAAGUCAGAUGUGAAAUCCCCGGGCUCAACCUGGGAACUGCAUCUGAUACUGGCAAGCUUGAGUAUCGUAGAGGGGGGUAGAAUUCCAGGUGUAGCGGUGAAAUGCGUAGAGAUCUGGAGGAAUACCGGUGGCGAAGGCGGCCCCCUGGACGAAGACUGACGAUGAGGUGCGAAAGCGUGGGGAGCAAACAGG